Molecule: ribosomal RNA, 536 nt
Filed under: Klebsiella pneumoniae
Lineage: Bacteria; Pseudomonadati; Pseudomonadota; Gammaproteobacteria; Enterobacterales; Enterobacteriaceae
Description: bacterial SSU rRNA
Rfam family: Bacterial small subunit ribosomal RNA
Source: RNAcentral
ACUUAAAUUGAAGAGUUUGAUCAUGGCUCAGAUUGAACGCUGGCGGCAGGCCUAACACAUGCAAGUCGAGCGGUAGCACAGAGAGCUUGCUCUCGGGUGACGAGCGGCGGACGGGUGAGUAAUGUCUGGGAAACUGCCUGAUGGAGGGGGAUAACUACUGGAAACGGUAGCUAAUACCGCAUAAUGUCGCAAGACCAAAGUGGGGGACCUUCGGGCCUCAUGCCAUCAGAUGUGCCCAGAUGGGAUUAGCUAGUAGGUGGGGUAACGGCUCACCUAGGCGACGAUCCCUAGCUGGUCUGAGAGGAUGACCAGCCACACUGGAACUGAGACACGGUCCAGACUCCUACGGGAGGCAGCAGUGGGGAAUAUUGCACAAUGGGCGCAAGCCUGAUGCAGCCAUGCCGCGUGUGUGAAGAAGGCCUUCGGGUUGUAAAGCACUUUCAGCGGGGAGGAAGGCGUUGAGGUUAAUAGCCUCAUCGAUUGACGUUACCCGCAGAAGAAGCACCGGCUAACUCCGUGCCAGCAGCCGCGGUAAU